This is a long non-coding RNA of Saccostrea cuccullata (small rock oyster), 284 nucleotides long. RefSeq lists it as uncharacterized. The record is from RefSeq and is a predicted model, not a curated record. The transcript has 3 exons. Lineage: Eukaryota; Metazoa; Mollusca; Bivalvia; Ostreida; Ostreidae.
UUCUGCUACAUUAAAUAAAAUAUCUUGGAGGAACAUGAAGAAAAGGGCUGCGCACCUCAACAUAUUCAAGGUCAAGCAGCUUUUUACAAUAUCCAUAGUAUCUUGCUGCUAAAUGAAAGAAUUAGUGUGGAGGAGCAGAGAAAAGGGCACCUCAACAUGUUCAAGGUCAAGCAGAAAUUAGGAGCUAGGUGUGCUUCUCCAGAGCUGAAAAUUUCUUGGCAUGAAGAGAAGAAGAAGCAAGAAAAAGCAGUUUUAAAUAUUGAUUACGUCUUCAUAGUACAAAA